GUUGGGUUGUUGCUGGCCUCUAGAGGCAUGUGCACGCCUGCCACCGUUUUCAACCACCUGUGCACCUUUUGUAGACUUGGAUACCUUUCGAGGGUCAACCUCGGUUAGGGGAUUGUCGUGCUGCUUUGCUACACUAGUGGUAGUGGAGUGGUCGACUUUCCUUACACUUCCGGUCUAUGUCUUUAUAUACCCCGUAUAGAAUGUAUUAGAAUGUUUUGUUAUUGGCCUUUAGUGCCUUUAAUCAAAUACAACUUUCAGCAACGGAUCUCUUGGCUCUCGCAUCGAUGAAGAACGCAGCGAAAUGCGAUAAGUAAUGUGAAUUGCAGAAUUCAGUGAAUCAUCGAAUCUUUGAACGCACCUUGCGCUCCUUGGUAUUCCGAGGAGCAUGCCUGUUUGAGUGUCAUUAAAUUCUCAACCUAACCACUUUGUUGUUGGUUAAGGCUUGGAUGUGGGGGUUGCGGGCUUCACAGAAGUCGGCUCUCCUUAAAUGCAUUAGUGGAACCUUUUGUUGACCUGUUUCCUGGUGUGAUAAUUAUCUACACUGCGGGCGGUCGGCGAUUCUAAUGGGGCUCUGCUUCUAACUUGUUCUUAGCGGAACACUUUGACAAUUUGACCUCAAAUCAGG
RNAcentral lists this ribosomal RNA (625 nucleotides) under Termitomyces sp. DKA-2007. RNAcentral's name for it is "eukaryotic LSU rRNA". The stretch from base 250 to 403 matches the Rfam family "5.8S ribosomal RNA". Lineage: Eukaryota; Fungi; Basidiomycota; Agaricomycetes; Agaricales; Lyophyllaceae. The record is from RNAcentral.